This 774-nucleotide ribosomal RNA is filed under the name uncultured Neocallimastigales. RNAcentral's name for it is "partial large subunit ribosomal RNA". It matches the Rfam family "Eukaryotic large subunit ribosomal RNA", at positions 20 to 616 of the family's 3401-position model. Lineage: Eukaryota; Fungi; Neocallimastigomycota; Neocallimastigomycetes; Neocallimastigales. The record is from RNAcentral.
UACUAGAGUAGCACUCGCAUAUCAAUAAGCGGAGGAAAAGAAACUAACAAGGAUUCCCCUAGUAACGGCGAGUGAAGCGGGAAGAGCUCAAAUUUGAAAUCUUAAAGGGUUUCCCUUUACGAAUUGUAGUUUAAAGAAGUGUUUUCUGUUGAGGUUUUGGUAAAAGUUCUUUGGAAUAGGACAUCAUAGAGGGUGAGAAUCCCGUAUUUGACCUUUACUUUCAACUUUGUGAUACACUUUCAAAGAGUCGGAUUGUUUGGGAAUGCAGUCCAAAAUGGGUGGUAAAUUUCAUCUAAAGCUAAAUAUUGGCGAGAGACCGAUAGCGAACAAGUACCGUGAGGGAAAGAUGAAAAGAACUUUGAAAAGAGAGUUAAACAGUACGUGAAAUUGUCAAAAGGGAAGCGUUUGACACCAGUGUUGUUUUUCUGAAAAUCAAUUAAAGAACUGUUUAUGCUAAGUUGUUUAGACUUUAUCAGCUAUCUGUUUAGUUUUGAGCCUUUCUUUAAUGCACUUUUCAGUUAACAAGUCAACAUCAAUUUCUUUUGCUGUAAAAAAGCUUGAGGAAGGUGGCUUGAGAUUCGUCUUAAGUGUUUAUAGCCUCUUGCCUAUGCAGUCGGAGAGAUUGAGGUCUGCAGCGUAGAUCCUUCGGGGCUAAAUGCAUCUGUGCUAAGUUAUAGCAUUUUAUAGACAACUUGUUGACUAUGAUUUGUCUUGUAGCUUACUCGCUUAUGUUAUUCUACCUACGCUUAGGAUGUUGAGCGCAUGUCUCUCUCU